CCCCCCAUGGCCGUGGAGAGCCCGAGUGUCCCCCCCGCCGCCGCCGCCUCCCCCCCCAGCCCGCACUCCGCCCCCCCAUCUCCGUCCUGCCACCACCACGACAGCGGCAGCUGCGGCCUCCCCCGGCCGCCGCCACAACUCCACCACCACGGCCCGGACGAAAGGGAGGAUGGGGAGCUGGAAGAAGGCGAGCUGGAGGACGAUGGGGGAGAGGAGCCCCAGAAUGCAUCUGAGUCCCAUGAGAGGGGCCGGAAAGAGAAGGGAGAGAAGCACAGAAGUGACUCGGAUGAAGAAAAGGCUCAUCGGCGGAUGAAGCGCAAGAGGAGGAAAGAGAGAGAGCGAGAGAAAGAGAAAAGAAGAGCAAAAAAGAAAAGGAAAUCCAAGCACAAACGCCAUGCAUCUUCCAGUGAAGACUUCUCUGACUAUAGCGAGGACUCUGAUUUCAGCCCCAGUGAGAAGGGGCACAGAAAGUACCGGGAAUACAGCCCUCCUUACCCUCUUUCUCACCAGCAGUAUCAGUCCUCUCACAGUGCCCCCUUGCCAAAGAAGAGCUACUCCAAAAUGGAGAGCAAGAAUUACAGCAUGUAUGAGGAUUACGAGAAUGAGGCCUAUGGCGAAUACGAGGGGGAUGAAGAUGAAGACAUGGGGAAAGAAGAGUAUGACGACUUCACAAAAGAGCUGAACCAGUACCGGAGAGCUAAGGAGGGGACACAUCGGGGACGAGGCAGUCGAGGCCGAGGCCGAGGAUACCGAGGGCGUGGAGGCAGAGGUGGAAUGAGAGGGCGAGGCAUGGGCCGAGGAGGCCGGGGGAGAGGGAGAGGAGAACAUCCGGGAGAGGAGGAGGAGAUGUAUGAGGAAGAAAUGGAAUAUGGUGACAAUGAAGAGCCAAUGGGUGACGAGGAGUACGACGACUAUUCGAAAGAGCUCAACCAGUACCGGAGGAGCAAAGAGGGCAGAGGGCGAGGUUUAAAUCGGGGGCGUGGCCGUGGCCCCAGAGGGAGAGGGAGCAAGGGGAUGGGCAGGGGAAGAGGAAGAGGUGGGAGCAGAAGUGGAAUGGGGAAAGGUGGCGGAAUGAACGACGAUGACGAUUACUACGAUGAAGACAUGGGGGAUGGAGGAGGUGGUGGAAAUUACAGGCGGAAUGACCAUGAUAAACCCCACCAGCAGUCGGAUAAAAAAGGAAAAGUUAUCUGCAAAUACUUUGUGGAAGGCAGGUGUACCUGGGGGGAACAUUGCAAUUUCAGCCAUGACAUCGAGCUACCAAAGAAGCGGGAACUGUGCAAGUUUUACAUCACGGGUUACUGUGCGAGGGCGGAGAAUUGCCCUUACAUGCAUGGAGACUUUCCUUGUAAACUGUUCCACACCACUGGGAACUGUAUCAAUGGGGACGACUGCAUGUUUUCCCAUGAGCCGCUCACAGACGAAACACGGGAGCUGCUGGACAAGAUGCUGGCUGAUGAUGCAGAAGCAGGUGCAGAAGAUGAGAAGGAAGUUGAAGAGCUAAAGAAACAGGGCAUCAAUCCAUUACCGAAACCUCCACCUGGAGUGGGCCUGCUGCCCACACCCCCUCGUCCUCCUGGACCGCCAGCUCCAACUUCUCCCAACGGGAGGCCAAUUCCUGGAGGACCACCGCCUCCUCCACCACCCCCCCUUCCACCACCAGGGCCACCACAGCUGCCACCACCACCGCAUGAGCCUCUCUCACCACAGCAGCUUCAGCAGCAGCAGGACAUGUAUAAGAAGAUCCCAUCUCUGUUUGAGAUUGUGGUACGGCCCACUGGGCAGCUGGCGGAGAAACUAGGCGUGCGGCACCCAGUUCCACCACCUCCCCGCUUCCCUGGGCCUGGUGGACCACCUGGGCCUAUGCCAGGACCCAUGCACCCGGAUAUGCAUCCCGACAUGCACCCGGAUAUGCAUCCCGACAUGCACCCGGAUAUGCACCCCGACAUGCACCCGGAUAUGCAUCUGGACAUGCACCCGGACAUGCACCCCGACAUGCACCCGGACAUGCACCCCGACAUGCACCCGGACAUGCCUAUGGGCCCUGGGAUGAAUCCUGGGCCUCCAAUGGGUCCCAGGCCCCCAAUGAUGCCAUAUGGCCCAGAUGAUUCUCCACACUCCGGAAUGAUGCCUCCUGGCCCACCUGCACAAAGCUUCUAUGAUAAUUUCUACCAACAGCAAGAGGGCCUGGAGAUGGACUCUGGCUUGAUGGGUGACCCAGAGGACUAUGGGAAUUACGAGGAUAUGGAUGAGCCUCUGGGAGAGCAUCUUUUCCCUGACCAGUCCUUGGAACCCGACUCCUUGUGUGAAGGAGGGGCUCCAGGGUUACACAAACCAUCAGCCAACAUCCCUGACUUCCUGCCAUCAGCCCCGAGAGCCCUGUACCUGAGGAUCCAGCAAAAGCAGCAGGAAGAGGAGGAGAGGGCUCGGAGACUGGCCGAGAGCAGUAAGCAGGAGCGGGAGAAUGAGGAAGGUGAUCCUGGCAACUGGUAUUCCAGUGAUGAGGAUGACGGUGGAAGUAGCGUCACUUCCAUACUGAAAACGCUAAGGCAGCAAAGUUCAAGCAGGCCUCACGCCCAGGCAUCCCAUGGAGAAAUCAGUGGCGGUAUCGGCCCAUCCUCAGGUGUGAGUGACCCUCGCCUGCAGAAGGCCCAGCCAGCAGGGAACAGUCGGCCUGCGGAUCCACGUGUGCUGCGGGAUCCCAGGCUGUCUCGAAAUGCCGAUACUUGUGGCCCAUCUAGCACUGGGGAGGCAGGGCCCACUGACCCGAGACUAGCACGACACAUUCCCACGCCUGCCCUGAAACCGGAUGCUCCUCAUUCCAGCACUGCUGCCAGUCAGAAGGCUGCCUUGGUUCCUGAGGAGGAGGAAGGGGAAAGAGCACUAAGGGACAAACCGGUCAAUAUCCCCUUAGAGGCACUGCCAGCCCACGCUCUGCGGGACCCCAGGUCUCAACUGCAGCAGUUCAGUCACAUAAAGAAAGACGUGAUCCUGAACAAGCCGAACUUUGCCCGAAUGGUCCUGUGGAGCCCCGAGGAUCUGAUUCCACUGCCUGUCCCAAAGCAAGAAUUUGUUCCUGUCCCAGCUGCUCUCCAGACAUUACCUGCCCUUGACCCACGACUCAACAGGCCCCAAAAUGCAGGCCUUUCUGACCCCAGACAACGAGGAGCAGCAGCCCAAGCAGAGCCUGCCACCGGUUCUGGCACCAACAUCCCUGACUUCGAGCUGUUGUCAAGAAUAUUAAAGACUGUGAAUGCGUCUGGCAGUCCAGGGCCUGGGCAGAGCGAUAAACCGAGUGACCCUCGGAUGCGCAAAGCAUCAGCCGAUCCCAGGUUACAGAAACCAGCAGAGCCAGCAGCCGCCAGAGCUGCUAAACCUGCGGAGCCAGCUCAGCCAACCGCUGCUACCACGCCCAGCAGCGAGACAGCUCCCACCAUUGCUCCCUACGACCCCAGGCUGCUGUCAGCUGGCGGACUAAGCAAAGGCAGUAGCCAAAGCAGUGUGCUCAGUGGGAUUAGCCUGUAUGACCCCAGGACUCCCAGUUCAGGUGGCAAAGCCGCAGAGUCUCCCAGCGAAGGGACUGCAUCGUUGAAAGGCCCAGAGGCCAGCAAGACCGCUAACAAGGCCAAGGAGCCUCUGUUUGUGCGCAGGUCUGCGCUGGAUCAGCCCGAGGCCGAGAAGCCAAGCGCUGAGCUUGCAACAGACAGAUACAAUAGUUAUAACAGGCCGCGUCCCAAGGCCUCCUCCACCGCCCCCGCCACCUCCUCCACACCUGCCCAGGAGACUGCACCUCAGCCAGGGGUUCAUAACCUCCCUGUGCCCUCCGUCUAUGGCAUGGUGAAGCAGACCACAAAGCCUGGGUCAGGCAGCCCCUUUGCAGGGAACAGUCCUGCCCAGGACAGUGAGCAGCAGGAUGCUGGGUCUCUGAAAGAUGUUUUUAAGGGCUUUGAUCCCACAGCUUCACCAUUCUGCCAGUAGUAUUAAAGGACUGACCUUGCGUCCAUGUAUUGAAGAACAGCGCGCAGUGUUGCCUCUGGUUACUCGAUGUCCAGGUGUGUCCUAUCCCCUACUGCUUGGUAUUUCGAUAGUGGUAUCGCUGUGGAGCUAACUGGAUUCCGCCGUGUGUCACGUGAAUACUGGUAGUACCUCACACUCACAAGUAUUUGGCUGGCAAAGCCUGUAGCAAACAUGCUCACAAGUAUUGGAAGGUGAAGACAUUUUAUGCAAAGUGUCUUUAAAGCAUAAACUGCACCAAGGAAAAGCUAAAAUGCCUGCACCCUUUUAGCCAUAUGCUGAGACAUGGAUCUGUACAAUGUACAUGACCAAAAUGCAGUAUCAAUUCCUGUGAAAUAAUGGAAACAAAGUUAAAUAUUUUAAACACAGUUUUAUAAACAUGGCUGAGCGAGAUGUGUUCUUCUUUACACUUUCAGCCAGGUCAGUGUCUGUGGUACUAUCAGGGAAAUGUCUAUGGAGUGUGAACUGAGUAUUGCGCUUUCUUCUGACUGAGGCACAAGCCAGAACUUUUGUCAGAGACCCCAAAUAUUUGGUGAUGGUGAGUGUUUUAAAGGCACAGUGUGCGCGUCGUAACUCUCCUUCCCCAGAGCCUCGCACCAGGGAGUGCUACACCAGCUUAGAGGGGGAUCUGGUGCCAGGGUAUCCCAGCUGACCCACCUUCACCAGAAGAGAGGUUCCUGUUUUAUUGCAGAAUAUAUCCCAAGGGGCUGUACCUCUCUGCCUUGAGAAUUCAUCCAUUGCAUCAUGUCACAGUGGCUCGUCAUCGGGCUGGUGUUUGCAUGAGGAGCAGUGUGAGAGGAAAAACAUUUCUCAGUACGCUGGCUGCCGUCAUCAAAUCUGGUUUAGGAUGAAUUGUCCCAACAGUGGGACAGCUGCUUAAAACCCCAUUCAGUUGUGCUGUAAGCGUUAUAAUUUGUUUUGAAAAAGUUCUACAGCUAAUGGUGCAUGUGAGAUUAGUAUUAAUAAUGCCAAAAUAACUCUCUUCAAUUACAAAAACCCAGUCUGGACUCUGAAGUUUUGUUAUGUUUGUUUGGUGUUAAUUACUUGUCGUCUUCCCUUUGGACGCUAUUUGUUUUACUUCUUCCUGCACCCCGCUUUAAUUUGAGGCAAAAGGUUAUAUCAAACUUACUCGAAACAAUGUCUUUCAACUCAGCUGGAGUCCAGAAAACUCAGAUGCCAAUGGAUUGUGCUGAUCUCUUCGAUAAGUGUCCAAUGGAGAUCGAAUCUAUUCGAAUUUCUGCUUGCAUCUCUCCCUGAAAUUGUGUGCUAGUUUUCAGUGAAUCAGCCUGGCCUGUGUGUGUAGUAGUUGGCGCACUGCUGAAGUGGUUCACCUCAUGCCUUCUCUUGGUGUAGCCUCAGCUCUCGACCUGCAGUGAAGUGGGACAUACGAACUCCUGGCUUUGGAGUUUGGCUGGUAUCACUAACAAAAAAGAGAGAAGUGAAAUAAAUCAUUUGUGUCGUGUUCCGCUAUGUGAGAUUGCGUUUAGGGAGAGGGAUGUAAAAUCAGUGGCAUUUGUACCAUAACCCUAAACAUUUGUAACAGAAAUAAAAAAACCAGAUUGAACUCUGUCCAGAAUAUGAAAUGUGAUGAUGCUCUACUUUGGAAUAGAUUCACCAUAACAUAAAACAUCACCAGUCUUUAAUCCAUUAAUAUUUUUCCAUCUGCCAGAGCUUUAAGAGAAAAAUAAUAAUGCUCUAACUGAGAUUGUAAUAAACUGUAAAUACUAUUUCAGAAUUGAAGUUGUUGAUGCAAAUAUGUAUAUACUGUAUUGGUAUUUUUACAAUGACUGUUUCAUUGCAUGGCUUUGUGGUUUUUUCCUUUUUUUAUUGCACAUUUGUCUUCCAAAAAUGUCAUCUAUAUUUCUCCUGUGAGCUCUUUAAUCCUCUAUCAUUGUAUUACUGCCAUUAAAGGAUGCAGUUAUUUUAAA
Mauremys reevesii (Reeves's turtle) is the source of this 5942-nucleotide RNA transcript. It is a transcript of the gene named zinc finger CCCH-type containing 4, with no coding region annotated. The transcript is spliced from 15 exons. The record is from RefSeq and is a predicted model, not a curated record. Lineage: Eukaryota; Metazoa; Chordata; Testudines; Geoemydidae.